This 490-nucleotide ribosomal RNA is filed under the name uncultured bacterium. RNAcentral's name for it is "partial 16S ribosomal RNA". It matches the Rfam family "Bacterial small subunit ribosomal RNA", at positions 30 to 507 of the family's 1533-position model. The record is from RNAcentral.
AUUGAACGCUGGCGGCAGGCCUAACACAUGCAAGUCGAACGGUAACAGAAAGCAGCUUGCUGCUUUGCUGACGAGUGGCGGACGGGUGAGUAAUGUCUGGGAAACUGCCUGAUGGCGGGGGAUAACUACUGGAAACGGUAGCUAAUACCGCAUAACGUCGCAAGACCAAAGAGGGGGACCUUCGGGCCUCUUGCCAUCGGAUGUGCCCAGAUGGGAUUAGCUAGUAGGUGGGGUAACGGCUCACCUAGGCGACGAUCCCUAGCUGGUCUGAGAGGAUGACCAGCCACACUGGAACUGAGACACGGUCCAGACUCCUACGGGAGGCAGCAGUGGGGAAUAUUGCACAAUGGGCGCAAGCCUGAUGCAGCCAUGCCGCGUGUAUGAAGAAGGCCUUCGGGUUGUAAAGUACUUUCAGCGGGGAGGAAGGGAGUAAAGUUAAUACCUUUGCUCAUUGACGUUACCCGCAGAAGAAGCACCGGCUAACUCCGUG